Peromyscus eremicus (cactus mouse) is the source of this 1030-nucleotide long non-coding RNA. RefSeq lists it as uncharacterized. The record is from RefSeq and is a predicted model, not a curated record. The transcript has 2 exons. NCBI's taxonomy places the organism in Eukaryota, Metazoa, Chordata, Mammalia, Rodentia, Cricetidae.
CUCUGUGACAGCUGGAGUCUGGGGCAGCAGGAAUUCUGCCGCUUACAAGUUCAAAACGCUGUUUCCAGAAUGAACUCUGUAACCACUUGAGGACAAUGGCCAGUCAUUUGGGGGCAUUCUAGAGCCCCAAGGCCCAAUUCCCUGCCCUGACCAGAACUCCGAAGCCAGGGACUCGGAGCCUAGGUUCUUCUGUGAACUCUUAAAACCUCUAGGUUCCGGAAGAAGUGUGGGGCCACUUGAGAGAAAACUGGGGUUGGUUCCAUGGUGUAGCCUGUGAUCCCUGGGUCCGAAGUCCUGAUUCCGGGUGAACUCUGCAAUCCCUAUGGUCAAAACGCUGAUCCGGAGUUAACACUGGAACAGGUGGUCCAAGUCCCGGCACUGUGGGAAGGCUGGGGUCCAAACCCCUCCUCCUUUAGAACUCUGGGGUCUCCCGAGCCAAAGGCCAACGCUGCUCCCUGCAGUGGUACUGCUGGAGGCAGAGCCUUGGUUUUAUGCCCCACUUUCGUACCUCUGGAACCAAAGCCUUGGCUCGGCCGCGCACCCUGCAACACCCUGAGCCAAAGACCAGUCCCUGGGUGAGCUGCAUACCAGGGAAAGACUGGGAUGGCUGGACUGCCUUCAAAGAAGUUGAGAAACCUCCUUUUGGAAACUGAAACUGUAACCCAUUGGGCAACAAUAAUUAAACUCACCAUGGAAGCCCCACCCCCCUCUCACAAGGACUCAUUUUUCUUAUCUGUGAAAAGAGGGUGACUUCACAGCAGGCUGACCUGUCUGCCCUCUGCUUUCCCAGAAGAUUAGGAUCAUGCUGCAGCUAAAGUCGGGCUUCAGGUAACCUGAAGUCAUCGUUUUCCAGACAGCCAGUGUUCAUCUCAGUUCAGACACAUGCAUCAUCCUCUCGCAAGUCUGGUGCCAUCACCCACUCACUCUUCCUGAAUCUUCGUGUUGGUGAAGUUCUGUCGCAAUUCAGCACAUACUGCCUCCGUCCUGGUUUUUUGAGGGUCCUUGCUAGUAAAUUACCCAUGGGAGCUGA